Molecule: long non-coding RNA, 2845 nt
Filed under: Triticum aestivum (bread wheat)
Lineage: Eukaryota; Viridiplantae; Streptophyta; Magnoliopsida; Poales; Poaceae
Description: long non-coding RNA (TAES_LNC023960)
Source: RNAcentral
UCACAUAAUCCCAUGUAAUAAACAAGAAUGGGAUAAAGAGUUGGCUUACAAUCGCCACUUCACACAAUACAUAAAUAAAACAUACAUCAUUCAGAGAUACACACAUAGGUCCGACUACGGAACCAAAAUAAAAGAAGACAACCCAACUGCUAGAUCCCUGAUCGUCCCAACUGGGCACCACUACUGAACAACAUGAAAAGAAUCAACACAACGAACAAGAUCUUCAUCGAGCUCCCAUUUGAGCUCAGUUGCGUCACCUGCACUGGUAUCAACGGCACCUGCAACUGUUUUGGAAGUAUCUGUGAGUCACGAGGACUCAGCAAUCUCACACCCGCGAGAUCAAGACUAUUUAAUCUUAAGGGUAGGAGAGGGUAAGGUGGUGAGGUUGCAGCAGCGACUAAGCAUAUAUGGUGGCUAAAAUACGCAAAUAAGAGCGAGAAGAGAAGCAACGGAACGGUCGUGAAGCUAGCAAUGAUCAAGAAGUGAUCCUGAACUCCUACUUACAUCAAACAUAACCCAGAAACCGUAUUCACUUCCCGGACUCCGCCGAGAAGAGACCAUCACGGCUACACACGCGGUUGAUGCGUUUUAAUUAAGGUCAAGUGUCAAGUUCUCUACAACCGGAUAUUAACAAAUUCCCAUCUGCCACAUAACCGCGGGCAUGGCUCUCGAAAGUUUAUACCCUGCAGGGGUGUCCCAACUUAGCCCAUUAUAAGCUCUCACGGUCAACGAAGGAUAUUCCUUCUCCCAGGAAGACCCGAUCAGUCUCGGAAUCCCGGUUACAAGACAUUUUGACAAUGGUAAAACAAGACCAGCAAAGCCGCCCGAAUGUGCUGACAAAUCCUGAUAGGAGCUGCACAUAUCUCGUUCUCAGGGCACACUGGAUUGUCCAAGCUUCCGAUAGGCGAGCCCAGAGUUGCCCCUGGUGGCCACCGGCGACUAACGGGUUGGACCAACACUCAGAGGAGCACUGGCCCAGGGGUUUAAAAUAAAGAUGACCCUUGAGUCUGCAGAACCCAAGGGAAAAAGGCUUAGGUAGGCAAAUGGUAAAACCAAGGUUGGGCCUUGCUGGAGGAGUUUUAUUCAAAGCGAACUGUCAAGGGGGUCCGAUAAAUCACCCAACCGCGCAAGGAACGCAAAAUCAAGGAACAUAACACCGGUAUGACGGAAACUAGGGCGGCAAGAGUGGAACAAAACACCAGGCAUAAGGCCGAGCCUUCCACCCUUAACCAAGUAUAUAGAUGCAUUAAUUAAAUAAGAGAUAUUGUGAUAUCCCAACAUAAUUAUGUUCCAACAAGGAGCAAUCUUCAACUUCACCUGCAACUAACAACGCUGUAAGAGGGGCUGAGCAAAAGAGGUAACAUAGCCAAACAACGGUUUGCUAGGAAGGGUGAAAAGGUUAGGGGCUGACAUGGCAGUAUGGGAGGCAUGAUAUAGCAAGUGGUAGGUAGCGCAGCAUGGCAAUAGAACGGACAACUAGCAAGCAAAGAUAGAAGUGAUAUCGAGGGUAUGGUCAUCUUGCCUGAAAUCCCGCUAGGAAGAAGAACGAGUCCAUGAAGCAGACAAACGGACGUAGUCGAACGAAUCCUCUCAACUCCGGAACGAAACCGAAGGUAACGAGAGAGCAAACCGGAAAGAAGCAAACAACACGGUAAACACACAAUCAUAAACAUGGCAUGAUGCACAAUCAAGUAUGAUGCAUGUCCGGUUUAAAGAGGCAUGGCAUGGCAAAGUGCACAAGCAAAACUACAAGUUAAGUGGAGCUCAAUAGGCAACGAGUUGCAUAUUGACGAAACACCACAUCAAUUAUUUAGUUCUCUCUCGUUUAUGUACCCAACAAUAUUAAAUGUUAUUAACCAUGGCAAGAGAUGAAGCAUAUGAAAACUAACUAUUUAAGCAAGUUAAAUGAGGCCGGAAACAAACAACAACAAUUCCGGAAAAUCCCCAUGUGCAAUAUUUUAGAUUUGGUACUGUUCUGCCAUAAAUGCAAUUUUAUUAUUGUUAAACAGCAAAAUGAAGUGCACCAUGUUAAACUAGGCAUUUUUCUACCCCAUUUACAUAUAAAUUUUAUUUAAAUCCGAGUUACGGUUAAUUAGUUAUGAAAUAAAUCAUUUUAACAUAUUAUUCGAGCAAAUUUAAUCAAACAACAUUUUAAGCAAUUUUAACAUGGGUGAAAGUGGCAUAUUAUUAAACUACACAAAAUUCUAAGCAUUUUACAUGUAUAAAUUAUUUUAAUCCGAUGCACGGUUUAUUAGUUAUUAAAUGCAUGAAGAACAUGGGGUUUUCUGUAAAACUGUAAUUCUCUGGAUAAAUGCGAAAAUCACCGCAGCAGAAAAAAAACACUACGGGCCGAAUCUUGCUGCACUAUUGGGCCAACAGAGAGGAGCUGUGGGCAGCUCACCCAUGGGCCUAUCCCAGCUAAGAGGAGGUGGCCCAAUCGGCGCAGAUCUGGGCCUCGGGCGUGCUUGCGGCCCAGGAGGCUGGCCACGCUGGCGCUUGAACGGGUCAACGCAGGAGGGGCUUGGCGCUGGCUCUCUGCUCCUCCCGCAGCGAGACGAAGCAGGGGCGCAGGAGUUGGCGCGGGGCAGAGGCGGACUUGGGGUUCCGGCAGGAGGAACUUGAGGCGCAGGGGACGACGAGCUCGAGCAAAGGCUGGACAGGCGCGGCGCGAUGGGACGGGCACGGGGGAGCUCUCCGGCGAGGCCGCAGCUGGGCUCGUCUGGUUCCUGUCCCUGACAAAGAGAGACAGAGAGAGGUGAGACAGAGAGGGGGGGAAGGGAAAGGAAGAGAGGGCGCGAGGGAGGCCCGGCGGCGUGACCUGGAGGUGGCCGAAGGCUGGCCGGGG